This 2902-nucleotide ribosomal RNA is filed under the name Escherichia coli HVH 184 (4-3343286). Its description in RNAcentral is "bacterial LSU rRNA". It matches the Rfam family "Bacterial large subunit ribosomal RNA". Lineage: Bacteria; Pseudomonadati; Pseudomonadota; Gammaproteobacteria; Enterobacterales; Enterobacteriaceae. RNAcentral also lists the same sequence under 1 other name. The record is from RNAcentral.
UUAAGCGACUAAGCGUACACGGUGGAUGCCCUGGCAGUCAGAGGCGAUGAAGGACGUGCUAAUCUGCGAUAAGCGUCGGUAAGGUGAUAUGAACCGUUAUAACCGGCGAUUUCCGAAUGGGGAAACCCAGUGUGUUUCGACACACUAUCAUUAACUGAAUCCAUAGGUUAAUGAGGCGAACCGGGGGAACUGAAACAUCUAAGUACCCCGAGGAAAAGAAAUCAACCGAGAUUCCCCCAGUAGCGGCGAGCGAACGGGGAGGAGCCCAGAGCCUGAAUCAGUGUGUGUGUUAGUGGAAGCGUCUGGAAAGGCGCGCGAUACAGGGUGACAGCCCCGUACACAAAAAUGCACAUAUUGUGAGCUCGAUGAGUAGGGCGGGACACGUGGUAUCCUGUCUGAAUAUGGGGGGACCAUCCUCCAAGGCUAAAUACUCCUGACUGACCGAUAGUGAACCAGUACCGUGAGGGAAAGGCGAAAAGAACCCCGGCGAGGGGAGUGAAAAAGAACCUGAAACCGUGUACGUACAAGCAGUGGGAGCCUCUUAAUGGGGUGACUGCGUACCUUUUGUAUAAUGGGUCAGCGACUUAUAUUCUGUAGCAAGGUUAACCGAAUAGGGGAGCCGAAGGGAAACCGAGUCUUAACUGGGCGUUAAGUUGCAGGGUAUAGACCCGAAACCCGGUGAUCUAGCCAUGGGCAGGUUGAAGGUUGGGUAACACUAACUGGAGGACCGAACCGACUAAUGUUGAAAAAUUAGCGGAUGACUUGUGGCUGGGGGUGAAAGGCCAAUCAAACCGGGAGAUAGCUGGUUCUCCCCGAAAGCUAUUUAGGUAGCGCCUCGUGAAUUCAUCUCCGGGGGUAGAGCACUGUUUCGGCAAGGGGGUCAUCCCGACUUACCAACCCGAUGCAAACUGCGAAUACCGGAGAAUGUUAUCACGGGAGACACACGGCGGGUGCUAACGUCCGUCGUGAAGAGGGAAACAACCCAGACCGCCAGCUAAGGUCCCAAAGUCAUGGUUAAGUGGGAAACGAUGUGGGAAGGCCCAGACAGCCAGGAUGUUGGCUUAGAAGCAGCCAUCAUUUAAAGAAAGCGUAAUAGCUCACUGGUCGAGUCGGCCUGCGCGGAAGAUGUAACGGGGCUAAACCAUGCACCGAAGCUGCGGCAGCGACACUAUGUGUUGUUGGGUAGGGGAGCGUUCUGUAAGCCUGUGAAGGUGGCCUGUGAGGGUUGCUGGAGGUAUCAGAAGUGCGAAUGCUGACAUAAGUAACGAUAAAGCGGGUGAAAAGCCCGCUCGCCGGAAGACCAAGGGUUCCUGUCCAACGUUAAUCGGGGCAGGGUGAGUCGACCCCUAAGGCGAGGCCGAAAGGCGUAGUCGAUGGGAAACAGGUUAAUAUUCCUGUACUUGGUGUUACUGCGAAGGGGGGACGGAGAAGGCUAUGUUGGCCGGGCGACGGUUGUCCCGGUUUAAGCGUGUAGGCUGGUUUUCCAGGCAAAUCCGGAAAAUCAAGGCUGAGGCGUGAUGACGAGGCACUACGGUGCUGAAGUGACAAAUGCCCUGCUUCCAGGAAAAGCCUCUAAGCAUCAGGUAACAUCAAAUCGUACCCCAAACCGACACAGGUGGUCAGGUAGAGAAUACCAAGGCGCUUGAGAGAACUCGGGUGAAGGAACUAGGCAAAAUGGUGCCGUAACUUCGGGAGAAGGCACGCUGAUAUGUAGGUGAAGCGACUUGCUCGUGGAGCUGAAAUCAGUCGAAGAUACCAGCUGGCUGCAACUGUUUAUUAAAAACACAGCACUGUGCAAACACGAAAGUGGACGUAUACGGUGUGACGCCUGCCCGGUGCCGGAAGGUUAAUUGAUGGGGUUAGCGGUAACGCGAAGCUCUUGAUCGAAGCCCCGGUAAACGGCGGCCGUAACUAUAACGGUCCUAAGGUAGCGAAAUUCCUUGUCGGGUAAGUUCCGACCUGCACGAAUGGCGUAAUGAUGGCCAGGCUGUCUCCACCCGAGACUCAGUGAAAUUGAACUCGCUGUGAAGAUGCAGUGUACCCGCGGCAAGACGGAAAGACCCCGUGAACCUUUACUAUAGCUUGACACUGAACAUUGAGCCUUGAUGUGUAGGAUAGGUGGGAGGCUUUGAAGUGUGGACGCCAGUCUGCAUGGAGCCGACCUUGAAAUACCACCCUUUAAUGUUUGAUGUUCUAACGUUGGCCCGUAAUCCGGGUUGCGGACAGUGUCUGGUGGGUAGUUUGACUGGGGCGGUCUCCUCCUAAAGAGUAACGGAGGAGCACGAAGGUUGGCUAAUCCUGGUCGGACAUCAGGAGGUUAGUGCAAUGGCAUAAGCCAGCUUGACUGCGAGCGUGACGGCGCGAGCAGGUGCGAAAGCAGGUCAUAGUGAUCCGGUGGUUCUGAAUGGAAGGGCCAUCGCUCAACGGAUAAAAGGUACUCCGGGGAUAACAGGCUGAUACCGCCCAAGAGUUCAUAUCGACGGCGGUGUUUGGCACCUCGAUGUCGGCUCAUCACAUCCUGGGGCUGAAGUAGGUCCCAAGGGUAUGGCUGUUCGCCAUUUAAAGUGGUACGCGAGCUGGGUUUAGAACGUCGUGAGACAGUUCGGUCCCUAUCUGCCGUGGGCGCUGGAGAACUGAGGGGGGCUGCUCCUAGUACGAGAGGACCGGAGUGGACGCAUCACUGGUGUUCGGGUUGUCAUGCCAAUGGCACUGCCCGGUAGCUAAAUGCGGAAGAGAUAAGUGCUGAAAGCAUCUAAGCACGAAACUUGCCCCGAGAUGAGUUCUCCCUGACUCCUUGAGAGUCCUGAAGGAACGUUGAAGACGACGACGUUGAUAGGCCGGGUGUGUAAGCGCAGCGAUGCGUUGAGCUAACCGGUACUAAUGAACCGUGAGGCUUAACCUU